CCCUAUGGGUGGCGGUAGUGGGGAUACCUUCGGGUAUGCCGGUUUUCCGUUGUGUACCGGUUCGCCAACCCCGCUAUUUGCCGCCCACCCGU
This 92-nucleotide non-coding RNA is filed under the name Herbaspirillum sp. Sphag64. The record is from RNAcentral. RNAcentral also lists the same sequence under 1 other name. Lineage: Bacteria; Pseudomonadati; Pseudomonadota; Betaproteobacteria; Burkholderiales; Oxalobacteraceae.